CCUACGGGUGGCAGCAGUGGGGAAUAUUGCACAAUGGGGGAAACCCUGAUGCAGCGACGCCGCGUGAGUGAAGAAGUAUCUCGGUAUGUAAAGCUCUAUCAGCAGAGAAGAAAAUGACGGUACGUGAGUAAGAAGCCCCGGCUAACUACGUGCCAGCAGCCGCGGUAAUACAUAGGGGGCCAGCGUUAUCCGGAUUUACUGGGUGUAAAGGGAGCGUAGACGGCUGGACAAGUCUGGAGUGAAAUGCCGGGGCUUAACCCCGGAACUGCAUUGGAAACUGUGCAGCUAGAGUGCAGGAGAGGUAAGUGGAAUUCGUAGUGUAGCGGUGAAAUGCGUAGAUAUUAGGAGGAACACCAGUGGCGAAGGCGGCUUACUGGACUGUAACUGACGUUGAGGCUCGAAAGUGUGGGGAGCAAACAGGAUUAGAUACCCUUGUAGUC
This 440-nucleotide ribosomal RNA is filed under the name uncultured bacterium. Its description in RNAcentral is "partial 16S ribosomal RNA". It matches the Rfam family "Bacterial small subunit ribosomal RNA", at positions 338 to 795 of the family's 1533-position model. The record is from RNAcentral.